AACGAACGCUGGCGGCAGGCUUAACACAUGCAAGUCGAACGCCCCGCAAGGGGAGUGGCAGACGGGUGAGUAACGCGUGGGAAUCUACCCAUCCCUACGGAAUAACGCAUGGAAACGUGUGCUAAUACCGUAUACGCCCUACGGGGGAAAGAUUUAUCGGGGAUGGAUGAGCCCGCGUUGGAUUAGCUAGUUGGUGGGGUAAAGGCCUACCAAGGCGACGAUCCAUAGCUGGUCUGAGAGGAUGAUCAGCCACAUUGGGACUGAGACACGGCCCAAACUCCUACGGGAGGCAGCAGUGGGGAAUAUUGGACAAUGGGCGCAAGCCUGAUCCAGCCAUGCCGCGUGAGUGAUGAAGGCCUUAGGGUUGUAAAGCUCUUCCACCGGAGAAGAUAAUGACGGUAUCCGGAGAAGAAGCCCCGGCUAACUUCGUG
Molecule: ribosomal RNA, 431 nt
Filed under: uncultured bacterium
Lineage: Bacteria
Description: partial 16S ribosomal RNA
Rfam family: Bacterial small subunit ribosomal RNA
Source: RNAcentral